RNAcentral lists this ribosomal RNA (472 nucleotides) under uncultured eubacterium WR1134. RNAcentral describes it as "bacterial SSU rRNA". It matches the Rfam family "Bacterial small subunit ribosomal RNA", at positions 9 to 527 of the family's 1533-position model. The record is from RNAcentral.
GAGUUUGAUCCUGGCUCAGAGCGAACGCUGGCGGCAGGCCUAAUACAUGCAAGUCGAACGGAUCCUUCGGGAUUAGUGGCGGACGGGUGAGUAACACGUGGGAACGUGCCCUUUGGUUCGGAACAACUCAGGGAAACUUGAGCUAAUACCGGAUAAGCCCUUCGGGGGAAAGAUUUAUCGCCAUUGGAGCGGCCCGCGUUUGAUUAGCUAGUUGGUGGGGUAACGGCCCACCAAGGCUACGAUCAGUAGCUGGUCUGAGAGGAUGAUCAGCCACACUGGGACUGAGACACGGCCCAGACUCCUACGGGAGGCAGCAGUAGGGAAUCUUGCGCAAUGGGCGAAAGCCUGACGCAGCCAUGCCGCGUGAAUGAUGAAGGUCUUAGGAUUGUAAAAUUCUUUCAGCGGGGAAGAUAAUGACGGUACCCGCAGAAGAAGCCCCGGCUAACUUCGUACCAGCAGCCGCGGUAAUACG